Molecule: ribosomal RNA, 113 nt
Filed under: Streptococcus vestibularis ATCC 49124
Lineage: Bacteria; Bacillati; Bacillota; Bacilli; Lactobacillales; Streptococcaceae
Source: RNAcentral
AGUGACGAUAGCCUAGGAGAUACACCUGUUCCCAUGCCGAACACAGAAGUUAAGCCCUAGUACGCCUGAUGUAGUUGGGGGUUGCCCCCUGUUAGAUACGGUAGUUGCUUAGC